This 915-nucleotide long non-coding RNA is filed under the name Anas platyrhynchos platyrhynchos (common mallard). RNAcentral describes it as "lncRNA (ENSAPLG00000029202.1)". Lineage: Eukaryota; Metazoa; Chordata; Aves; Anseriformes; Anatidae. The record is from RNAcentral.
UCAUGAUGUACAACUUUUUAAAUUAAUUUUUUGUUCUUUGCAGGAUAUUUGUCCUCUUCAUUAUCAGAAAUGCCCUUCAGAAGAGGUUCUUCCUUAGAUUUUGAAGAUCAGAUCUGAUUCAAUAAGGUAGGGUAAGAGGCAUAUAGAGAAAUCAAAUAAUCUAUCCUGAGAGCAUGCAAGCACUCUAGUAAUAAAAUCCCAGUGAACCCUGGCUAUAACUCUUUUGAUGUCCUCAUCAGUGGCCACAGUCCUCCAAGGAUUGAUGAAAAAGAACCAGGAUCCAGUGACCUCCACUGUGUGGUUGGGAUUUUGUACCAUAGUGACCAGGACAGCUCCCAGGGGGAAGACCAGCUAACAGCCGCUCUUAACACUUGCCUUCCAUUGGAGCGUGCCCAGUGGUGGGGCACCCGUGUUGGAUGGGUCUGUGAACUGAUAUGAUGUUUUUCUUGCCCAGAAAUUCUGCAAACUAAAAGAUUGAAGGCAAUGUACAAAUAAUAUACUUGAAGGCAAGAACAUCCAGUGUAGUACGUUAGAAAGUCACACACAAACAUUUCUGUCCAGCCUUUCAUUCCAGCCUCUUAACAGUGAUACCCUUUUAACAUUUGAUUAGUGAUCAAAUGUUGUUGACUUAUUGUGAUAAUGUUUAAAUAUUUGUUUUAAAUAGAUUUGACACAUAGGUGGCACUCAUGCUUGAAAAACAGAUAAUACAAUUAUAUUUUGGAUUUUGUUUGGUAAAAUAACAUUUAGCUUUUCAUAGACCAUGCAGUGUCAUCUCAUAAAUAUUGCAAAUUAGAUUGCUUUAAAAUUAUGUUCUGAGAAGCUAAUCACUCUAUUUUCUAUGUUUAUUAGGUGAUAAAGCAUAAUUGGUAUAUUUAAAAUAAUAAACUUUGAGAGAAGAUUGUAUCGUAGCCUACA